GAUGAACGCUAGCGGCAGGCUUAACACAUGCAAGUCGAGGGGCAGCAUACCCGGUGACGGGUGAUGGCGACCGGCGGAAGGGUGAGUAACGCGUGAGCAACAUACCCGUAUCAGUGGGAUAAUACAGGGAAACUUGUUCUAAUAUCACAUAAUAUUAUUCAGAGGCAUCUUUGGAUAAUUAAAGUUCAGGCGGAUACGGAAUGGCUCGCGUGACAUUAGCUAGAUGGUAGGGUAAAGGCCUACCAUGGCUAUGAUGUCUAGGGGUUCUGAGAGGGAGGUCCCCCAACUGGAACUGAGACACGGUCCAGACUCCUACGGGAGGCAGCAGUGAGGAAUAUUGGACAAUGGAUGAAAAUCUGAUCCAGCCAUGCCGCGUGCAGGAAGGCGGCCCUAUCGGGUUGUAAACUGACUUUUGUACGGGAGCAAUAAGGUCUACGAGUAGGAUUGAUGAGAGUACUGUACGAAUAAGCAUCGGCUAACUCCGU
This 485-nucleotide ribosomal RNA is filed under the name uncultured bacterium. RNAcentral describes it as "bacterial SSU rRNA". It matches the Rfam family "Bacterial small subunit ribosomal RNA", at positions 28 to 506 of the family's 1533-position model. The record is from RNAcentral.